Molecule: ribosomal RNA, 393 nt
Filed under: uncultured bacterium
Lineage: Bacteria
Description: bacterial SSU rRNA
Rfam family: Bacterial small subunit ribosomal RNA
Source: RNAcentral
GACGAACGCUGGCGGCGCGCUUAACACAUGCAAGUCGAGCGGUAAGGCCCUUUCGGGGGUACACGAGCGGCGAACGGGUGAGUAACACGUGGGUGACCUGCCCUCAGCUCUGGGAUAAGCCUGGGAAACCGGGUCUAAUACUGGAUAUGACUCCAUGACGCAUGUUGUGGGGUGGAAAGCCUUGUGCGGCUGAGGAUGGGCCCGCGGCCUAUCAGCUUGGUUGGUGGGGUGAUGGCCUACCAAGGCGACGACGGGUAGCCGGCCUGAGAGGGCGACCGGCCACACUGGGACUGAGACACGGCCCAGACUCCUACGGGAGGCAGCAGUGGGGAAUCUUGCGCAAUGGGCGAAAGCCUGACGCAGCGACGCCGCGUGAGGGAUGACGGCCUCGGU